Molecule: long non-coding RNA, 5100 nt
Filed under: Sus scrofa (pig)
Lineage: Eukaryota; Metazoa; Chordata; Mammalia; Artiodactyla; Suidae
Description: lncRNA (ENSSSCG00000059143.1)
Source: RNAcentral
AAGCUUAGGAAAGAUAAGUCAAAUUUUAUUUUCCUUUUCAAUACCUUUCUCUAGGUAGAAAGUAAAACAUCUUUUAAAAUUUUACAAAUAAGCGUAUAAUGAAGUGACCUACAGAAAGCAGUAUAUUUGAAGAUAGGUUUAUAUCAUGUCUUUAUAUCAUAUAUCAAUUAAACAUUUUAAUCUGAAUUGUUUAUUUAAAUAAGACUAGGAAGUGGAAUUCUCCAAUUUUUGUGGUAAUCACUUCUAUAAUAUAGUAAAAAUUCAAUGGCUAUAUUUUUUUAGCUAUUAGAUUUGGUAUGGCUUUAAAAUUUUGUGUUUACUUUGAAGUUUAUAUUCACUAUGAUUUUUUAAGUUAAAGAAAACAUCAGUUGUUAAGUUUCUAUCCCAAUAUGAAUUUAAAAAUAUCCAACUAUUAACUGAUGGAAAUAAUUACAUGUUUAAUUUAAUAAGGUAACUAAAAUAUAUGAAAAAUUAUACAAAUGUGAAUAUUUUAGAGCAAAAUUUAUCAAUUAAUAUUUUUGUCUGUUAUACUGAUAACUUAUUAUGUAUGAUUUAUUUCCCAUUUGCAUACAUGAUAUUUUCUUUGGGUAAUGUUCCAUAUAGUUACACAAAUGAACUGAUGUACAUUUCUUAUUUUCAUUAACACCUUUGUUUACAAAUUAAAAUUUUAUUCCAAAGAUUUGAGUUCCAUCAAAUAGAUAUUUUUCUGACAACAGGUAAUAAAAUAGGUUAAUUCCAAAUCAAAACUAAAUUAUAUCCAUUUCACUCGAGCCUACUAUGUUAUAACUUUAUCAAAAGACAUCAAAUAUAAAGAUGUUUUACUAAUAACAUGGAAGUAGUGCAGUACAAAUGCAUUGAUAUUCUAAUUUUUGAAAUAGAGAACUCUCAAAUUCCUAAAUCUCCCACUUACUUUUCCUUUAUUCAGUUUGUCCUUUCAGUGUUCCUAACAGUUUAUAUCUUUUGACUUAACAUUAAGAGUUUAUGUCUUUUGACUUAACAUCAAGAAAUUGAGUCAGAAGAAAUAAUUUAAGGUAGCAAUUAUAUAACUAGAAAGAUAAAUAGCUUUUCUUUUCCACAAUUAAAAAAGAUUGUAAAUAUGAUCUACCAAAUAAUAUUUAUCCAGAUUAAAUGUAUCAUUUUAAUUUAUUUAAAUUUUGCAAAAUCAAUUAUUGUCCUUUUAUCAUGUCUUUUCCACCCUAUUUUAUUUAUAAUUUAAAUAUUCUAUAGAAUUUUUUUAAUACACAAGCAUGAGCGUAAUUAAUUAAGUAAAGUUCCUUGAAAAUAGUUUUUUGGCAGGUACAAGUAGACUUUCAAUUUGAAAAACGCACUUGAACAAUAAUUAUAAAUAAUGGUUUAGUGGCCCAGAGAGUCUUGUCAGGGCAAUCAUUUAUCUGUAUAAGAGUCUGUCGUAAAUUUUGAAUGAAAACCAAGGCACUAAAUGUCUGGCUUCAAUGAUGACUUCUCUGAAGCUAGAAAGGCCUGUCUCCUGAAUUUAGUUGCCUUUCUUUUAUUUGGCUUUCAUACACUGUUUCCCCUUCAUGUGACUGUCUAAAGCAGACAAAGAAAAAUUGGUGCUACACUUUUAGAGAGUACAAGUGACAGACGUUAGGACCUCUUGACUGUGUGUCUUGCGGUCAGGGGCAUCCAGUGAAUUGCAGGUGGGGAUUACGUAAGGCUGAGGGACAUCUGCUUUGCCUUGAUGAGAGCUGAUGAUAGAGCUCUGUGUUAUCCUGUAACAAGCCUACCGGUUUAAAAAAAAAAAAAUUAAAAAAUGGUUGGAGAAAUUUCUAUCACAAACAGAGCUAGUAUGCCAGCAGGUGAGCUCUUCAUGCCAUCUGUGCAUGAAGAGCUACCCAGUCGAAUAAAAUCAUAUAUUUCUUUUAGUGUCAUCUACAGACAUGAAGGGCAGAAAGCCACCUUACAUAAGAACACAAAAAGGCUAGAAAUAACACAAACCUGGUACAUUCUAGGUAACAGUAACACUAUCCUUCUCAGAAUAUAUUAAAUACCUCAUUUCACAAGGCCUGGAGCUGACACUAAAGAACUACUGUAGACUGGUUUGCUGUAAAUAUUAUGCUGAGAAAGUGAUUAAUAGUAGAGACUUAUCUCAGAAAUUUAAUGUGUUGGCUUAAAGAAUGUUGUCACAUCUGGGUGUGUUAAUCUCACAAUUGCUUGGAUUUAUUUACUGUGGUCUGUACAGGUUUCUCUUUAUGGAUAGACUGUGGCACCUUUGAGGCUGGGAAGGUGUUUUAGAAGUCUCUAGUUACUAACAUUCAUGCCUGACAAUAAGUAUUUGUUAAAUGAAUCUAAUGAUGUCACAAAAAAAAAAAAGUGCUCACAUUUAUUUCUCAGUGACUUUGUUUCAUUCAUCACAAAGUCGAUACAGGAGUUCCCAUUGUGGCUCAGCAGAGACGAACCCAACCAGUAUCCAUGAGGAUGAGGGUUCAAUCCCUGGCUCUGCUCAGUGGGUUAAGAUCUGGCGCUGUGGUGAGCUGUGGUGUAGAUUGCAGACAUGACUCAGAUUCCAUGUUGCUGUGGCUGAAGUAUAGGCCAGCAGUUGCAACUCCAAUUCGACCCCUAGCCUGGGGAUGUCCAUUUGCCACAGGUGUGUUCCUAAAAAAUAGCCCCCCCAAAAAAGUCAAUACAAAUAACCUAAAAUAUGAAUCUGAAAAGAUUUUGUUUUAUUUUCCUGGAAAACUUAAGCCAAAAUCUAUUAAAGAUUUACUUUCAUUUAAAUAGGGCACUUGUUUUUUAGUGUUCUCAAUAUAACUAAUUUGGUUUUCUAUGAGGAGGCAAAAAGCAUGAUAUCCCAAGUCAGAAUGUACUAAUUAUCUGUUGGCAGCAUCCACAAAUAUGAGAAAUAUUCUUGUCAAAACUGACCUUGUAAAAGUGGAUCCCAUGAGUUUUUCAAGAAGCAUAUAAAAUACCAGUGAACAUCAGCAGGUCCUCUUUAUCUGUCUUCCACAUUGAUGAAGAACUGAAAAUGAAGACUAAAUUGCUGAAAAUAGGUUAAAAGCUCAUUAUAGAUUUUCAAGCUAUAUUAGUAUUUUAAUACUCAAAACUGGUUCUUUAUGGAUUUUAAAUUAGGGUAGCACAGCAACAUCUAAAUUAUUGCACUGACCAACAUAUUUUUCUCAUGUUACGGCUUCAGAAAGAGAUUGUAUUCUCUCAAUACUAAAAUUGAGUAAUUUGGUUCAGCUGAUUUUUUUAUGCAGAAUAGAUUUUCAGAAUUGUUUUAAUUUUUACAUAUCUUUUAUUUUUAAUUACUUAUUUAAUAUUUUAAUUCGGAUUUCUAAAACAGACUUUAAUUUUUUUGUGUGGGGUGUGAUGAGGAAGGUACUGAUUCUGAGUAUUUCUAUAAGGCUUUGUGCAUAUUAUAACUACACCCACUCUGAAGCACACUCUGGGCUUUUUAAACCAAUUAUGAAUCAAGGAAGCAUGGCUCUGCUUCCUGACCAAGGGAAAGCCACCCAAGCACAAUAUUCCAACUCCUUAGAGAGUAAUUUUUCCUUAAUGGGUUUUACUUCAGUGACUCAUACUGAUUAUGUAAGAUGCAACACAAUGAAAUAGGCUUCUCUGUAGCUUUGCACACAUGUACACGUGUAUCUGGAACAAUGCAACGACAUUUGCAGUUGCUUCUUUAAAUAGCUUUAAAAAAAAGGAACAAGCAACAGCAUAGAGAUUAUGAGGAGCCACUUGAGUGGAGAAGAGCAGGAAAGGCUGGCUAGGACAAGAAGAAAUUUAGCAGAGGGAAACUGCCAAGCUCCGGAGAAGAGGUUGAUUGUUUCUGUGAGGUUAGGAGUCAUAAGGCGGACAGGAGAGAUGAGGGCUAGAGAUGCGAUUUGAAAAGAGUCAAUUAAGUCCAGAGAGGCAGGGAAGUGGUUCCAGAUGGCAGGUAAAACACAGGAGAAAGAGAAAGUGGUGGAGUGGAUAGAGGUGAAGAGGGCGAAGGGUGCCUCGAGAAGGAGCCUAGGAAGGCUUUUAAAUCUGAAUUUAAUGAUAGAAGAAAAUAAGUACAAAGAAGCGAAUGUUCUGAAACAACUUUCAAUAACAAUCUAAUGUAAUUCAAGAUCAGAGUUUUAAGUAUAUUUGCAGCUAUUGAGGGGUCCAAUAACAUAAGCCUUCACAGGAACCUUCUCCUUUCUGCCCUAGCAUCGUGUUACCGCCGAAACCUGUGACUUCUGUAACAAAGAAACUCAUGGCUCAUAGUAUUAAAAUAGCCCAGUAUACUUUUCAAAAUUAUGUAACUCUAUAAUCAUUAGACUAUAUGUAUUGACAAGAAAUGUAAUCCUAAAUUGUAAACAUAUUUUCUAGAGUUGAAUUUCCCAGCCAACCUAACAACUUUAUGAGGUUUAAAAUGUAGGUGAGCAAGAAACAUCUUUUCAAGAUGCCCUUGAUUUCUGUCUUCUAUUCAGAUGUUGGUUAUGGCAACUCUUAGAAUGGCAGGGGUUUCUCCAAUUUAACAAGCAAUCUGUUACUCCAAAUAACAGACUGGAAGCAGUGGGAAGAAAAUAUCUCUUGGUUCCUGCGCUUGUUUGAGGAGCUCUCUCAGCAGCACUGAGUAAAGUUGGUUCUCAUUGAGAGCUUAUUUAUUUAUUAAAUACUUACCUGGUUUGAAUUUUUAUUGAGCAUCUAUUAUGGAUUAUGAGCUGGGCUGUGUACUAAGACUAUAAUGAUUAUCUAGGCAAAGUCUCUACUCUUCAGAAGUGUAUACACAAGUGAGGGAGUUGAUUAAGAAGAUAAUUACAAAACCAAAUUUAAAAAAACUGUCAGAGAAAUACAGGGGAAUAUGCGCAACCAGUGCCUCGUUAGUUGUUGAGACAUCAAAGAUGGCUCGCAUGGUAAGUGGAUCCCAGAGCUGUAAGUAGCAAUUUCGUGCCCAAAACAUUGUCAUGCACUUUCCUCUGAGAGGAGAAGCAAUAGCUUCAGUGAGUUCCCAGUGGUUUUUCAAGUUAUCUGUCCCACAGUGGUAUAUUUAACUCCGUAAGGAAAAUUUUAAGGCCUUGGUAGCUGGUCAUUAUAUCUCAUUAAAUCAGUCUCAGAAUCACUAAGUAAUAAUACUGGAGGGCAGGAUGCUAGAAUUUUUCUGAGAAGCCCUUG